UUCAGGCUACCAGCGCUGCACUUACUCCUCUCAUCUCUCUGAUCUUCCUCAAUCUUCCCUCAUGUCAUAACUUGGACACUUCUGAAGAGUGCUGGUCAGCAUUUUGUAGAAUGUUCCUCCGGUUGGGUUGCCUGUUGUUUUCUGCCUAAUAACUGGACUGAGGUUACAGAUAGGUGGGAAGAAUCUAGAAGACCACAGCAAACUACCCUUCUAGUCACAUCACAUCAGGAGCACACAGCAUUGGCCAAAUUUCCUCCCAGUAAUGUGAGGCCUCAUCUCCUGGCCCAGGUGCUUUCUGCCAGGUGUCACCACUGUUCAAAGCACUGUGCUUUAAAAAAUUCAACAUACCAAUGAAGGAAAAACUGCCAUAAAAUGAAGAUAUCAAAUCCACCUAUGAAUAGGCUGGAAGG
Molecule: long non-coding RNA, 410 nt
Organism: Canis lupus familiaris (dog)
Lineage: Eukaryota; Metazoa; Chordata; Mammalia; Carnivora; Canidae
Exons: 2
Source: RefSeq, a predicted model, not a curated record